RNAcentral lists this ribosomal RNA (433 nucleotides) under uncultured bacterium. RNAcentral's name for it is "partial 16S ribosomal RNA". It matches the Rfam family "Bacterial small subunit ribosomal RNA", at positions 29 to 507 of the family's 1533-position model. The record is from RNAcentral.
AACGAACGCUGGCGGCAUGCCUAACACAUGCAAGUCGAACGAGACCUUCGGGUCUAGUGGCGCACGGGUGCGUAACGCGUGGGAACCUGCCCUUAGGUUCGGAAUAACUCCCCGAAAGGGGUGCUAAUACCGGGUAAUGUCCUCGGACCAAAGAUUUAUCGCCCUUGGAGGGGCCGGAGUUGGAUUAGCUAGUUGGUAGGGGAAAAGCCUACCAAGGCGUCGAUCCAUAGCUGGGCUGAGAGGAUGAGCCGCCACUCUGGGGGUGGGACACGGCCGAGACUAUUGCGCGAGGCAGCAGAGGCGGAUAUUGGACAAUGGGCUGAAGCCUGAUCCAGCAAGGCCGCGUGAGUGAUGAAGUCCUUAGGGUUGUAAAGCUCUUUUACCCGGGAUGAUAAUGACAGUACCGGGAGAAUAAGCACCGGCUAACUCCGUG